GUCGAGCGGAUGAAGGGAGCUUGCUCCUGGAUUCAGCGGCGGACGGGUGAGUAAUGCCUAGGAAUCUGCCUGGUAGUGGGGGAUAACGUCCGGAAACGGGCGCUAAUACCGCAUACGUCCUGAGGGAGAAAGUGGGGGAUCUUCGGACCUCACGCUAUCAGAUGAGCCUAGGUCGGAUUAGCUAGUUGGUGGGGUAAAGGCCUACCAAGGCGACGAUCCGUAACUGGUCUGAGAGGAUGAUCAGUCACACUGGAACUGAGACACGGUCCAGACUCCUACGGGAGGCAGCAGUGGGGAAUAUUGGACAAUGGGCGAAAGCCUGAUCCAGCCAUGCCGCGUGUGUGAAGAAGGUCUUCGGAUUGUAAAGCACUUUAAGUUGGGAGGAAGGGCAGUAAGUUAAUACCUUGCUGUUUUGACGUUACCAACAGAAUAAGCACCGGCUAACUUCGUGCCAGCAGCCGCGGUAAUACGAAGGGUGCAAGCGUUAAUCGGAAUUACUGGGCGUAAAGCGCGCGUAGGUGGUUCAGCAAGUUGGAUGUGAAAUCCCCGGGCUCAACCUGGGAACUGCAUCCAAAACUACUGAGCUAGAGUGCGGUAGAGGGUGGUGGAAUUUCCUGUGUAGCGGUGAAAUGCGUAGAUAUAGGAAGGAACACCAGUGGCGAA
RNAcentral lists this ribosomal RNA (663 nucleotides) under uncultured Pseudomonas sp. RNAcentral's name for it is "bacterial SSU rRNA". It matches the Rfam family "Bacterial small subunit ribosomal RNA", at positions 61 to 719 of the family's 1533-position model. The record is from RNAcentral. Lineage: Bacteria; Pseudomonadati; Pseudomonadota; Gammaproteobacteria; Pseudomonadales; Pseudomonadaceae.